CGUUUUUCCACAUCAAUACCAACAUCUGUUGUUUUUUGACUUUUUAAUCAUAACCAUUGUGACUGGCGUAAGGAUUACCUUUUAACAACAAUCAUCGCCAAGUUAUAUGACCUCAGGAAAGAUAGUCGCUGUCUCUGACACUCAGUUUCCUCUUUUAUAGUGAAAAAUGGACUCUGAAUGCCAAGGUUCCUCUCAGCUCUCCGGUGCUGGGAUUCAGUGUAACUCUCCCUGAAUUCCUCCGCCAUCGUGUGAGCCAUUUAAAAAUGAUGGAUUCUUCCAGGAGGAGCGAUGUCUCUUUAACUAGAAUCGUCAAGGUUUGAAAACAUUUAGGAUCAUAUGAAAUUUUGGAUUACUUUGCUCUCCAGUAUCUGUCCUGAAGAGAUAAAUGUGACAGACGGCUGUUUAUUCUAUGAAAUGAAAAUGACAUCCCCGGCUGGGCGUGGUGACUCAAGUCUGUAAUCCCAGCACUUUGGGAGGCUGAGACGGGCGGAUCACGAGGUCAGGAGAUCAAGACCAUCCUGGCUAACACGGUGAAACCCCGUCUCUACUAAAAAAUACAAAAAACUAGCCGGGUGAGGUGGCGGGCGCCUGUAAUCCCAGCUACUCAGGAGGCUGAGGGAGGAGAAUAGUGUAAACUCGGGAGGCGGAGCUUGCAGUGAGCUGAGAUCCGGCCACUGCACUCCAGCCUGGGCAACAGAGUGAGACUCCAUCUCAAAAAAAAAAAAAAAAAAAGAAAAAAAAAAAAAAAAAUGACAUCCCCUGCCCAGGAGCAGUGGUGUAAUGAUUUAUAAGAUAGCGUAUUUAAAAUCAUUCAAGAUUUGGUGAUAAGCUAUUAGAUACAACACCAAAGGUACAAGGCGUGAGAGAAAAAACUGGUAACUUGGAUUUCAUUAACAUAAAAAAAU
Molecule: long non-coding RNA, 905 nt
Filed under: Piliocolobus tephrosceles (Ugandan red Colobus)
Lineage: Eukaryota; Metazoa; Chordata; Mammalia; Primates; Cercopithecidae
Description: lncRNA (ENSPTEG00000022207.1)
Source: RNAcentral